RNAcentral lists this ribosomal RNA (909 nucleotides) under Penicillium glabrum. RNAcentral's name for it is "LSU rRNA". It matches the Rfam family "Eukaryotic large subunit ribosomal RNA", at positions 36 to 963 of the family's 3401-position model. The record is from RNAcentral. Lineage: Eukaryota; Fungi; Ascomycota; Eurotiomycetes; Eurotiales; Aspergillaceae.
UAGCAUAUCAAUAAGCGGAGGAAAAGAAACCAACAGGGAUUACCUCACUAACGGCGAGUGAAGCGGUAAGAGCUCAAAUUUGAAAGCUGGCUCCUUCGGGGUCCGCAUUGUAAUUUGCAGAGGAUGUUUCGGGAGCAGCCCCCAUCUAAGUGUCCUGGAACGGACCGUCAUAGAGGGUGAGAAUCCCGUAUGGGAUGGGGUGUCUGCGCCCAUGUGAAACUCCUUCGACGAGUCGAGUUGUUUGGGAAUGCAGCUCUAAAUGGGUGGUAAAUUUCAUCUAAAGCUAAAUAUUGGCCGGAGACCGAUAGCGCACAAGUAGAGUGAUCGAAAGAUGAAAAGCACUUUGAAAAGAGAGUUAAAAAGCACGUGAAAUUGUUGAAAGGGAAGCGCUUGCGAUCAGACUCGCCUUGGGGGUUCAGCCGGCAUUCGUGCCGGUGUACUUCCCCCAGGGCGGGCCAGCGUCGGUUUGGGUGGCCGGUCAAAGGCCCUUGGAAUGUAACGCCUCUCGGGGCGUCUUAUAGCCAAGGGUGCCAUGCGGCCUACCUGGACCGAGGAACGCGCUUCGGCUCGGACGCUGGCAUAAUGGUCGUAAGCGACCCGUCUUGAAACACGGACCAAGGAGUCUAACAUCUACGCGAGUGUUCGGGUGUCAAACCCGUGCGCGCAGUGAAAGCGAACGGAGGUGGGAACCCUUUGGGUGCACCAUCGACCGAUCCUGAUGUCUUCGGAUGGAUUUGAGUAAGAGCGUAGCUGUUGGGACCCGAAAGAUGGUGAACUAUGCCUGAAUAGGGCGAAGCCAGAGGAAACUCUGGUGGAGGCUCGCAGCGGUUCCUGACGUGCAAACCCAUCGUCGAAUUUGGGUAUAGGGGCGAAAGACUAAUCGAACCAUCUAGUAGCUGGUUCCUGCGA